CUAUAAAUCAUUCCCUUUCACCUCUUGUUCUUUGCCUCCAUCUCUCUUCCCUUCUUACCUGUCGUUCUUGCUUCCCGCCUCAUUUAUCUCAUAUAAAUCGUCAUUGUUACGGCGCUCUAUAAAAGAACUUUGGGUACGAUUCUCUGUCCCACCAUAAGAAAAAGGACCUUUUUAGUAACUUAAGGAACAGAGCUGCUCCUCGUUGCUGCAGCUCCUCCUGCACCCUGAUGUCCAACCUGCGACUCACAACUAACCUCCUACCUGCCGGCUGUACGCGUGUGCAUGUAUGUGUGUGUGCGUGUGUGUGUGUCCAUACCUUUUUUUUACUGUGCGCAGCCACAAGGUUUGUGGAUGCGUGUUCUACUUUAUGUAUGUGUGUGCAUGUGUGUCGUGGUGCAGCAGGAAUGGGGGUCUCGCUCUGACGCCCCUGUGUGUACUCAUUCAACACAGAGGUCGUGUGUCAGGGGUCAAAGGGUCUGUGAGGGGGAAGGGUGUGUGUGUGCGUGUGUGUGUGUGUGUGUGAGGGGGGGUACAUGCCCCAAGGUAGAUAGACUAUCUUAAUUGGCCUCUAGAGACUUCAGGGAACGUGUGUGUGUUUCAAAGUAUGUGAGUGUAUGUGAAGAUAAACCUUUCUCUUUACGGAUGGGAUGUGAGAUGAUGAUGAUGAUGAUGAUGAUGAUGAUGAUGAUGAUGUCCAGUCCAGUAGGUGAUUUGAGGAGUGAUACCAUGAUGAUGGGACAGUUGUUCCAGUUAACCAAUCGCAGGUGAACAAAACGAAACAACUUGUUAACAACAAAUAACUCACCUUUAAAAUGUAUCUUUCAUGUUUUCUAACUCGUGUCUUGUUCAUUUUUUGUUACUGUGAAUAAGCAACAAAAAUAGUUUCCAUUCUGGGGAUUGGUAAAGUUUCAUUUAAUUUCAAGAAACAAAAACGUGAAGGUGAGGCAGUUGAUGAAGAAGAAACUAAAUAUAAAGAACCAUAUUGAUCAAAAUAAAUGAAAGGAGAUUAUAAGAAACUGCUUUUGAAUUAGACCAUUAUUUGACACUUUAGUGCUUGAUGUGUUUGAGUGCCUUACAUUUUCAAAGAGCAUUGAAAGCUAAACGUGUACAAUUAUUCUCCACGUUCUUUGUAUCUUUUCUUUGUGUGUGUGUGUGUGUUUGUGUGUGUGUAGGCCGCCGUGGUCUUGUUUGCUCAGGGAGAGUCAGUCUUGUGCCCUGCGACCACAUUAUCCACCUAUUAAAGUCCUGCAACUAUUUACCUUCCUCCUCUGAGAGGGCCGGGCCGUGUCCGUCUGAUGAAAGGCUGCAGAGUGUCUGUUUCACUCGACGCUCGAGAGACGACGACGACGGCGACUACAGUCGCUGAGUGUUGGCAGAGCAAACAUUCCUGAGCACCCAGGAUCUGACAAACACACACACACACACACACAGACACAAUGCAGAGGAAUGACACACACACACACACAUCUUUUGAUAUAAAGAGGACUCUUGAAUACAAAUAAAAAAACGCAUUUAAACACAUGAUGGAAAAAUAGAAGGAAUUGAGUAAGAUUAGCCUCCCAAUUCCACACCGCAUAGUAAAAGUAUUCAAUUCUCUGUGGUAAUUGUCACAUAGAGCAUAGCUGGGUUUUGUUGUCAAAAAUAAUGUACGUAAGUUUCUACUGAGGAGGUGAUGCUGUACAGGUGCUGAAGGACGCCAAUCAAACCGCCACUGUCAAAUUAACCGUACAAAAAAAACCCCAUAAAGAUGCAAAUAUGUUUGUUGUUUUUGCCUCGACACAUUCAACCAUUUAUUUGAACUUUUUCUGACCGUUUGAUCUAUUUCCUGUGUGCAUUGCAUUGUGUGACACACUUCAAUAGCGCAUUGACAAAUGAAGUGGACGUCACAGGUGAACCAUCGAUUAUGAUCUGGAGAAAUACGACCGAUGUUCAUUUUAAAGAUUUAGAGAUUUAAAGAAAGAUUAAUGACGAGCCUUGCUUACUACCAACUUUAAAGUUGCGUUGUCAUAAAACAGCAAAAUAGACCUAAACUUAACCCAGGUUUCUUGGACAUUCUUGUCAUCACAACCCACACUUAAAUUCACACACACACACACACACACACACACACACAUGGACAUGCCCUGGCCUGCUGUUGCUGUUGUCCGAUGGUGGUAAAGCUGUUCUCUGGCAACGGUCAAACACGCAGCGGAGCAGCCCAGACUGACGGGUUCAAUAUUUGCUGGUCCAGAGAGGAGGCGUGUGGAGACCGCAGGGGUCACGAGGUCAGCGGGGAACGACUGACCGGCAGGUGAACAAACAGAGGCUGCAGCGGAGGAGGAGCCCGAUGAUGACAUGAUGGGAUGCCACAGAGACAUGGGUUCCACUCCGAAAGUUUGGUUUAGUUUUAACAUAUUUACAGAUUCAAAACAGGCUCCAACUGUUUUGGGAAUAAAUACAUUCAGAGACAGGAAAACAUUUGGGGUUUUUAUUUCUCUCCUGCUCGAGUGAUUCAUCUCUACAUCAUGAAAUCAAGGGCAGAUAUUCCAUAGAAAAUGCUUUUUGAGCCGGAGCUCACUUAGCUCACAAUCUUCUCAAAUCUUCUUAUCUUAUUUUCCGCAAAGGUCCUGUGAAAGAACUUGCUUUGUGUGUAAAGCAAAUGAGCAAGAAUUCCUGACAACGCUGAAUACGUAACGUGGCAAUGCGCUCGUCUUAAUCUGAGUCAGUCGGGCAGUUUGAAAAUGUAAAAGUAUUCUGCGAAAAACACCCGGCUAUUCAUUCAGAUAAGCCUGUUUGACUGUCUAAGUCCAAAUACGCAUGUAAAACAGGCGUGUUGGAAAAAGGCUAACCUAAUUAAAAGUAUAAGCUCUGCGAAAAUCAGAUCAGGACUUCCUGAAAGGAGACAAAAGCUCACAACUUGAUCACUUCUCCAUGCCUGUUGUCAUUUCUGCUGCGCUACAACAAACGAUUGUAGCAGCCUCGCCUCAAACAUUCCCGCCCGGCAUCACUGCGUGUUUGCUUUUGGUUUUAGCGCCUGCUAAGACACUAUUGAUGGCCAGUCAAGUAAUGUCACCAGACCGUUUUCGGUCCGACAUCACUGUGGCACUUAGGCGAUGAAAGCCGGUCCUCAGAGUCCCCCAUCCGGCAACAAGUGCAGCCCCCUGUCAGCGCCACUCGGCGGGAGGAGACGGAUCAGCCUGACUGACGUAAGUAGUGUGGACAGAUACAAUUUCAGCCUGGCAACGCGGCCAGAUCUGGCAACCCUUCCCUGUGUUUACCUAAAGGCUAAGGCGGCUGAGCCCAGACCUCACCUGCUGGCCUCACUGCUCGCCAUGAAUGCUGACAUAAUCCCACCAAAUCCAUGCAAACCCGGAGCCGCUUCUUGUGCUAAAAACUCAGUGUCCCUCCCACUCGGCGAGGCCUCCACUCGAUUCAGAAACAGUUUGUGCGAACGGUCAGUUUUUCCAUGGCAACUUUGCAUCCAUUCUGCAGAGGAAAGUUCCCACCCUCUCUGUUGUUACACACACACCCCUUUCAUUUCCUCACCCACUUUUUUCUGCAUUUUAUCACUCAAGUCACACUUUCUCUAGUUGCCAUCUUGGGGAGUCCGGCGUGGCUUCAUUGUUUUUGUAAGGGUUCAGGCCGCAGGCUCAACUCUUUAGUACCUACAUUUGUCUUUUACUUGUCUCCAGUACAUUUUAGCAACAGUUCAUUUUGCAAGUUUACAAUCAAAUUAUUAACAAAAAAAAUUAUUUGCCGUUGUUUUUUUUUAUUUGCCUUAGUUUGGCAUCAUCAUGCACACUGUCUACAUCUGCACAACAUUUUACUGACAACAGAUAAUACAAUAUUUAUAUUAGAUAAUGUUCUUCUUUGAGGAAGAACCCCAUCAAAAAGAU
This is a long non-coding RNA of Gasterosteus aculeatus aculeatus (three-spined stickleback), 3875 nucleotides long. The record is from Ensembl. NCBI's taxonomy places the organism in Eukaryota, Metazoa, Chordata, Actinopteri, Perciformes, Gasterosteidae.